AACGAACGCUGGCGGCAUGCCUAACACAUGCAAGUCGAACGAGACCUUCGUGUCUAGUGGCGCACGGGUACGUAACGCCGAGGAACCGGCUCUUAGGUGCGGAGUAACUCUCCUAGAGUGGUGCUAAUACCGGAUAAUGUCGCCGGACCAAAGGUUUAUCGCUUUUGGAUGGGCCCGCGUUGAAUUAGCUGGUUGGUAGGGUAAAAGAACCCCCAGGCGUCGAUAUAUAGCUUGUCUGAGAGGAUGGUCAGACACACCGGGACUGAGACACGGCCCAGACUCCUACGGGAGGCAGCAGUGGGGAACAUUGCAACACGGGCGAAAGCCUGAUCCAGCUCUGCCGCGUGAGUGCUGAAGUCAUUAGAGUUGUAAAGCUCUUUUACCCGGGAUGAUAAUGACAGUACCGAGAGAAUAAGCUCCGGCUAACUCCGUG
Molecule: ribosomal RNA, 433 nt
Filed under: uncultured bacterium
Lineage: Bacteria
Description: partial 16S ribosomal RNA
Rfam family: Bacterial small subunit ribosomal RNA
Source: RNAcentral